RNAcentral lists this ribosomal RNA (441 nucleotides) under uncultured soil bacterium. Its description in RNAcentral is "bacterial SSU rRNA". It matches the Rfam family "Bacterial small subunit ribosomal RNA", at positions 26 to 518 of the family's 1533-position model. The record is from RNAcentral.
AGAGCGAACGCUGGCGGCAGGCCUAACACAUGCAAGUCGAACGGACUCUUCGGGGUUAGUGGCGGACGGGUGAGUAACACGUGGGAACGUGCCUUUAGGUUCGGAAUAGCUCCUGGAAACGGGUGGUAAUGCCGAAUGUGCCCUUCGGGGGAAAGAUUUAUCGCCUUUAGAGCGGCCCGCGUCUGAUUAGCUAGUUGGUGAGGUAAAGGCUCACCAAGGCUACGAUCAGUAGCUGGUCUGAGAGGAUGACCAGCCACAUUGGGACUGAGACACGGCCCAAACUCCUACGGGAGGCAGCAGUGGGGAAUCUUGCGCAAUGGGCGAAAGCCUGACGCAGCCAUGCCGCGUGAAUGAUGAAGGUCUUAGGAUUGUAAAAUUCUUUCAGUAGGACGAUAAUGACGUACUACAGAAGAAGCCCGCUAACUUCGCGCCAGCAGCCGC